This 490-nucleotide ribosomal RNA is filed under the name uncultured bacterium. RNAcentral describes it as "partial 16S ribosomal RNA". It matches the Rfam family "Bacterial small subunit ribosomal RNA", at positions 30 to 507 of the family's 1533-position model. The record is from RNAcentral.
AUUGAACGCUGGCGGCAGGCCUAACACAUGCAAGUCGAACGGUAACAGGAAGCAGCUUGCUGCUUCGCUGACGAGUGGCGGACGGGUGAGUAAUGUCUGGGAAACUGCCUGAUGGAGGGGGAUAACUACUGGAAACGGUAGCUAAUACCGCAUAACGUCGCAAGACCAAAGAGGGGGACCUUAGGGCCUCUUGCCAUCGGAUGUGCCCGGAUGGGAUUAGCUAGUAGGUGGGGUAACGGCUCACCUAGGCGACGAUCCCUAGCUGGUCUGAGAGGAUGACCAGCCACACUGGAACUGAGACACGGUCCAGACUCCUACGGGAGGCAGCAGUGGGGAAUAUUGCACAAUGGGCGCAAGCCUGAUGCAGCCAUGCCGCGUGUAUGAAGAAGGCCUUCGGGUUGUAAAGUACUUUCAGCGGGGAGGAAGGGAGUAAAGUUAAUACCUUUGCUCAUUGACGUUACCCGCAGAAGAAGCACCGGCUAACUCCGUG